AUACGGAGGAUCCGAGCGUUAUCCGGAUUUAUUGGGUUUAAAGGGUGCGCAGGCGGCCAUUUAAGUCAGCGGUUAAAUCGUGGGGCUCAACCCCAUUCUGCCGUUGAUACUGGGUGGCUUGAUUGCGGUCGAGGUUGGCGGAAUUCGUUGUGUAGCGGUGGAAUGCAUAGAUAUGACGAAGAACACCGAUUGCGUAGGCAGCUGACCAGACCGCAAAUGACGCUCAUGCACGAAAGUGCGGGGAUCGAACAGGAUUAGAUACCCUGGUAGUCCGCACAGUAAACGAUGAAUACUUGUUUUCGGCGAUAUAAUGUCGGAGGCAAAGCGAAAGCGAUAAGUAUUCCACCUGGGGAGUACGCCGGCAACGGUGAAACUCAAAGGAAUUGACGGGG
Molecule: ribosomal RNA, 392 nt
Filed under: uncultured bacterium
Lineage: Bacteria
Description: partial 16S ribosomal RNA
Rfam family: Bacterial small subunit ribosomal RNA
Source: RNAcentral